RNAcentral lists this ribosomal RNA (497 nucleotides) under uncultured bacterium. RNAcentral's name for it is "partial 16S ribosomal RNA". It matches the Rfam family "Bacterial small subunit ribosomal RNA", at positions 28 to 507 of the family's 1533-position model. The record is from RNAcentral.
GACGAACGCUGGCGGCGUGCCUAACACAUGCAAGUCGAGCGGAAGGGCGCGGAGCUUGCGGGUUUGAUGUGAGCGGAGGGCGGGAGUGUAACACGUGUAAAACCCACUUAUCAGAGGGGUAAAACUUGGGAAAACGGGCGCUAAUAGCGGAGGAUAUUUUGAAGCAUGGGGGGGAUAGGUAAGUUACGGUCGUGGUGUCUGUUCUAGAUGCAUCCGAGCUGCAUUAGCUAGUUGUGAAGGUAACGGCUUACCAAGGCAACCAUGCAUGGCCGAGGGGAGGGGGUGAUCGGCCACACUGGAACUGAGCCACGCUCCAUGCUCCUACGGGAGGCCGCAGUAGGGAAUCUUCCGCAAUGGUCGAAAGCCUGACGGAGCAACGCCGCGUGAGUUAUGACGGUCCUCCGAUCGUAAAACUCUGUUAUUAGGUAAGAACAUCUUUGUAAGUAACUGUGCACAUCUUGACGGUACCUAAUCAGAAAGCCCCGGCUAACUACGUG